This 322-nucleotide ribosomal RNA is filed under the name uncultured eukaryote. Its description in RNAcentral is "partial 18S ribosomal RNA". It matches the Rfam family "Eukaryotic small subunit ribosomal RNA", at positions 1470 to 1796 of the family's 1831-position model. The record is from RNAcentral.
CCCUUAGAUGUUCUGGGCCGCACGCGUGCUACACUGAGUAAUUCAAUGGGUAAGGGAACGCUAGAGCAUUACCUAAUCUUGAAAUUUGCUCGUGAUGGGGAUCGACGGUUGCAAUUUUCCGUCGUGAACGAGGAAUACCUUGUAGGCGCAUGUCAUCAUCAUGCGCCGAAUACGUCCCUGCCCUUUGUACACACCGCCCGUCGCUCCUACCGAUUGAGUGAUCCGGUGAGGCUCUGGGACCUGGACGGAAAGAGCGUUUCGCUUGUUCUGUUUGGGAAACUUCGUCGAACCUUAUCAUUUAGAGGAAGGAGAAGUCGUAACA